GAAGGUGGGGCUAAUGACUGGGGUGAAGUCGUAACAAGGUAGCCGUACCGGAAGGUGCGGCUGGAUCACCUCCUAACAGGGAGACAACAAAAUGUAAAUAUUAAUUUUGUCACCUUAGGUCGAUCGGUAUCUCAGAUUCUUAUUUUUUAAGAAUUUCAGUUUCUAAGUUUUUUCUAGGUCACACCCAUCACUUUUCCCUGGGCCAUUAGCUCAGGUGGUUAGAGCGCACCCCUGAUAAGGGUGAGGUCCCUGGUUCAAGUCCAGGAUGGCCCAUAUCUCUAUGUUGGGGGUAUAGCUCAGUUGGUAGAGCGCCUGCUUUGCAAGCAGGAUGUCAGCGGUUCGAGUCCGCUUACCUCCACUGAAUACCACCUCAUACAUAUUUUCAAACAGGGAAAUUGUUUUGAGUCGUGUCCUCUUUUGCUCUGAGCGAAUCUAGCUUCCUAUUUUAUUUAAUAAAUAAGAUGCUGGACUCAUUGAAUUUUUUUCAUUGUUUUCAGAGAACCUUGACAACUGCAUAGAUUAUUUUUGAAGACAAUAAGCAUCUUUAAUGAUGCAGAUUUAUUAUUUGUGCUAAUGCAUUAAAUAACAAUUCUAUUAAGCUGAUGCUUCAAUUAUUGAAGUUAUUGGUCAAGCUACAAAGGGCUCACGGAGGAUACC
This 657-nucleotide unclassified non-coding RNA is filed under the name uncultured Prochlorococcus sp. RNAcentral describes it as "partial may contain 16S ribosomal RNA, 16S-23S ribosomal RNA intergenic spacer, and 23S ribosomal RNA". The stretch from base 286 to 358 matches the Rfam family "tRNA". The record is from RNAcentral. Lineage: Bacteria; Bacillati; Cyanobacteriota; Cyanophyceae; Synechococcales; Prochlorococcaceae.